RNAcentral lists this ribosomal RNA (243 nucleotides) under uncultured bacterium. RNAcentral describes it as "partial small subunit ribosomal RNA". It matches the Rfam family "Bacterial small subunit ribosomal RNA", at positions 26 to 285 of the family's 1533-position model. The record is from RNAcentral.
AGAAUCAACGCUGGCGGCGUGCCUAACACAUGCAAGUCGAACGAGAAAGUGGAGCAAUCCAUGAGUAAAGUGGCGCACGGGUGAGUAACACGUGACUACCUACCCUUGAGUGGGGGAUAACCUAGGGAAACCUGGGCUAAUACCGCAUAAUACCUACGGGUCAAAGGAGCAAUUCGCUUAAGGAGGGGUCGCGGCCGAUUAGUUAGUUGGCGGGGUAAUGGCCCACCAAGACGAUGAUCGGUA